GACCUGGCUCAGGACGAACGCUGGCGGCACGCUUAACACAUGCAAGUCGAACGAGAGAAGAGAAGCUUGCUUUUCUGAUCUAGUGGCGGACGGGUGAGUAACACGUGAGCAAUCUGCCUUUCAGAGGGGGAUACCGAUUGGAAACGAUCGUUAAUACCGCAUAACAUAAUUGAACCGCAUGAUUUGAUUAUCAAAGAUUUAUCGCUGAAAGAUGAGCUCGCGUCUGAUUAG
RNAcentral lists this ribosomal RNA (231 nucleotides) under uncultured bacterium. RNAcentral's name for it is "partial 16S ribosomal RNA". It matches the Rfam family "Bacterial small subunit ribosomal RNA", at positions 16 to 244 of the family's 1533-position model. The record is from RNAcentral.